Long non-coding RNA from Haliotis rufescens (red abalone), 542 nucleotides. RefSeq lists it as uncharacterized. NCBI's taxonomy places the organism in Eukaryota, Metazoa, Mollusca, Gastropoda, Lepetellida, Haliotidae. The record is from RefSeq and is a predicted model, not a curated record. The transcript has 4 exons.
GUACGGGUACAAUUGGAUCUAACAUUCAUGCAAAGGUUUUGAUAAUAUAAAAGGCUCGAGGUGAAUAAGAAUUUGUGAAGGUGAAGGUCGUCGUCAUCGUUGUUGGCUAACGUUAGCAGAUACAAGGUAGUAAAUAUGUGUCACUGACAUCACCUAAAAUGGGGAAAGGAUCAAAGAUAAUCAUGGUGCUCCUGGAGAGUAUGGCAGGCACAGGCCACAAGCUUAUACGUACACGUCCAAAGUUGGCUGAGAAACUAGAACAAAUUGGCUUUGACCCACAUGUUCGAAAACUUGUUCUUUAUAAGGAGAAGAAGAAAAUACGUUCAAUAUGAGGGUGAAGUCGAGCCAGAUGUCAUCAUGAUCAUGUGUGCCUGUGUUGAUUUGGGAGUCCUUCGUCCUUGUUCAUAGGAUAGUAGUUUUGUUGCAUCAAACAGCAAGAGGCAACUCAUUGACUGUUCACAGAAAGGAACAAUGGAACUCUGUUGUGAAGUUUAACUACCAUAUAUCAUGUAUUGUUCUCAGAAUAAAUAUGUAUUAUUUCA